GGAGUCGGCUCGACAUGGGCUGAGGAGGCGUCGUGGUAGGGGCCACUACUUGGGCUGUUUGGCUUAGCUAAAGCCAAGGGCAGCUUGUGCGGCCGAGGUCGCGGAUUAUAACGCUGGGGCGCAGUGUUAGGCGAGCCACAUGACUCAUGUCCUUUAGGCUCUUGGACCUUACUCGGGCCAGGCUGGUGACUGAAAGAAAUGAGGAGGUCGUGAGCCUCAUGGGUUGCUGGAAUGCUAGGCAUGCAAGCCUCCUGCCUGCUAGAAUGCUGGGU
This 272-nucleotide long non-coding RNA is filed under the name Malus domestica (apple). RNAcentral's name for it is "long non-coding RNA (MDOM_LNC003828)". The record is from RNAcentral. Lineage: Eukaryota; Viridiplantae; Streptophyta; Magnoliopsida; Rosales; Rosaceae.